Molecule: ribosomal RNA, 503 nt
Filed under: Botryosphaeria dothidea
Lineage: Eukaryota; Fungi; Ascomycota; Dothideomycetes; Botryosphaeriales; Botryosphaeriaceae
Description: eukaryotic LSU rRNA
Rfam family: 5.8S ribosomal RNA (bases 149-302)
Source: RNAcentral
ACCCUUUGUGUACCUACCUCUGUUGCUUUGGCGGGCCGCGGUCCUCCGCGGCCGCCCCCCUCCCCGGGGGGGUGGCCAGCGCCCGCCAGAGGACCAUCAAACUCCAGUCAGUAAACGAUGCAGUCUGAAAAACAUUUAAUAAACUAAAACCUUUCAACAACGGAUCUCUUGGUUCUGGCAUCGAUGAAGAACGCAGCGAAAUGCGAUAAGUAAUGUGAAUUGCAGAAUUCAGUGAAUCAUCGAAUCUUUGAACGCACAUUGCGCCCUUUGGUAUUCCGAAGGGCAUGCCUGUUCGAGCGUCAUUACAACCCUCAAGCUCUGCUUGGUAUUGGGCACCGUCCUUUGCGGGCGCGCCUCAAAGACCUCGGCGGUGGCGUCUUGCCUCAAGCGUAGUAGAACAUACAUCUCGCUUCGGAGCGCAGGGCGUCGCCCGCCGGACGAACCUUCUGAACUUUUCUCAAGGUUGACCUCGGAUCAGGUAGGGAUACCCGCUGAACUUAAGC